Molecule: long non-coding RNA, 6508 nt
Organism: Pipra filicauda (Wire-tailed manakin)
Lineage: Eukaryota; Metazoa; Chordata; Aves; Passeriformes; Pipridae
Exons: 3
Source: RefSeq, a predicted model, not a curated record
CAAUUAUCCCGCUUUACCCGCAGCCGCAGCCAUCCCGGACAACACUGAUAUUCCUCUCCUGCUUUUCACCCUCAGCUGAGGGCCUCAGGUGAUCCAAAGGAAUAUUUCAAUAUUCAGGUGAUCAAAAGGAAUAAUUCAACACUCGGUUUUGGAGCUAAUAAAGGAUUUGUCUCAGAGAGGCACAUUCUCAAUUCCUAAUUCCCACAGGUGAGGUGAAGUUGUUUCCUUCGUGUUUUCCUGGGUAAAGAUUCCGAUGGUGAAUUGUCACUGAGGUCUGACCAACUCUAAGCAGCUGUUUAAUAAAGGAAUGAGCACUUCAGGAAUUCCACUGGCACUGGGAAGUUCAUACCAAGGCCAUUUCAAGAAUGGAAGUGAGGAGAAAGGAGAAAAUAUUAUUUUAGGGAGCAAAAAGGUUGAAGCUGCUUCUCUUUUACAGGGGAGGCAAAUCAAUGUUUGCUGUUUUCCAGCAUACUCUGAUAUAAAUGUUUCUGCUUCAAAACACAAAGGAUUUCCUGUGAGCCAAGAAAAUGAAGUUUUGUCUCAUGUGUUUCACAUAAAAUAACAAAACGAAAAAUUAAUCCCACUUGGGCACCUCCUACAAUAUUCUGAAAUCGUUAUUGCUAAAUCUUUAAUUUCUUUGAGAACACAAAGCCUUUUGGGAGGAAACAAGCUGGAAAAGCAUUUUCAAGCAAUCCUAGAAGGAAAUGAUGGGGAAAGCUCAGUGAAAAACUAUGGGAGCUGCAUGGAUGGGACUUGGAUGGAGAGGACACCUUGAGAACGAGACAAGAACAUGGAAUGACUUCAUUUUAAAACCAAAAAUCAACACUUUUGGACAGGUUUUUGUGUGCAAUACCUUGGUACACAAAGUUCUCUUGUCCUUUCCUAGGAAUCAUUGUCUUGGUGCAGGAAUUUUCUGUUUGAAGAUGGAAAUAUUGGAGAAGCAAGAGGAACCUGGUGAAAUUGUCCGCUGGAGGGCACAGGGAUGGGAAGAGGGAAUGGAAAAAAAAUCCUGGAAGGGUGCAAAUUAAGCUACAGGGGGGAACUUUAAUUAAUCACAUGGUUUUGAAUAGCAGAUGCAGCCAAACAUAUUCCAAACCUUUUCUGUAGGAAAAGAGGGAUCAGCAGGAUAUCAACAGGAUAUCAACACCAAACCCAACUCAUGUUAAGAACAUUUCCUGAAUGUCACAGGACUUUCUUCACUCUGAACUGGUCAUGGAAACUUCCUGGAAAACCACUGGAAAGAACAACACCUCCAAAGGAUGCUUCUUUUUAGUGACAUUAGAUAUCUACUGGAAAUUUAGAAUAUCAAUCUUCUGGACACAUUUAUCUCUCCAUGGAAUAUCCAGGCAGGAUUUUGACCAUCCUUUGAUGGACCAGGUUUCCAAAAAAAAAAAAAAAUGAAAUAGAAGAAUUAUCAUUGCAGGUUUCUGGGUAAAGUUGCUAAAAUACUUUAUUUGCAAGCUCAGUAACACAGCAAGAAGUUCAAGGAGUUCUGCUCACUUGCCUUUCCCCCAAAACCAAAUUUUUUUCCCGAGAAACACAAAAUGAAUUUUUUUUUGUCGAUUUGAUUGACUCUACCAGCAAAUCUCUGGCCAAAAAUAGUCAUAAUCAAGUUUAAAAAAGUUUCAGUCUCUGUUUACUAAAAAAAAAAACCAACUUGUUUUAAAGUAAAUCAUCUGUGACAGUCACAUUUGGGCACGAAACACAAAUAAUUAAAUUUAUACUGACUACAGGAAGAGGAAAGUGAUAAAGGGAAAAUAGUCAGGGGAAAAUAAUUAGGGAAAAGUAGCCAUUGUAUAGGAAAAAGCCAUGAAGAAUGUCCCAAGACAUCAAGAAUGACCAAAAUUGAGCCCUGGGAACUCAAGUGGCAGCUAUUUUACAAGUUGCAGAAAUCCCUGAUUGAGCAUCUCCAGAUUGUGCUGAUCCUGGAGGGUCAGGAAAGAGUCUCAUAUGGGGACUUUCAGGUGUUACAUCCAGGAGUCUGGAAAAACAGGUUCACAGGUGGAGGAGUGGAGGAGGGAAGGUGACAAUCUUUGUUUGAGCCCCGUCCUUCUUAUUGAUUUAAGACACUGAAGGAGCGGAAGGAAAAGUUUGGAUGCCAAGAGGGCUGGGAUGAUUCUGUGGGAGGUUCAGCGGGUCAGAGGAGAGAAUUCCAUGUCACUUACCAGGAGGAGUGGAAGGAGGCCCAGGUCACUUCAGGGAAAAGUCUGGGAGCUGUGUUGUUGGAGACAGGGCAGAGGGAUGGCAAAGGUGGCGUCGAGUCACUUGGGCAGAGUGGAAACUGCAACAGCACCGUGGAAAAUCUAAUCUGGGCCAUCUGAGAAGGUAAUUUUUCAUCUUCAACUUCCCUUUUGCAUUGUCACCACUGGACUAGGACACAGCCCCAUAAAUAACCAUACAGGGCUGGAGCACCCUCGAGGUUUGGGGAUCCCUGACUGGCCAGAACGGUGUCAGUUUAACCCGAAUGGCACCAAAGAGCCAGCUGGGGAACACGACCUUUGAAUGGGACCUGGCAGAGCCAGGAGCACUAUCAGCGUUCCUGGAAAUCAGCUCUAAUUAAAUUGCAGCUCUAAUCUAAAAAACCACCAUUUUAUGGCUCCGGGGUCGGAACCUCCCGAUGGCUCCGCGGGAAAACGCGUUGGAGCUCUCACGUAGCCCAGACACAUCUGCUCCAGCUGAUUUAUUCUGGGAUUUUAGGGGUGAAUUCCAUCUCUAAAGAGCCUCUAAAGAAAUUGGGUUGGCAUUAAACUGGGUUUUCACCCAGUUCUCUCCAUCCAAGAGUCUAUUGAUGAGUCUUAGAUGUUUAUUCAAAGCCAAUCUUAGAUGUCUGUUCGAAGCCAAUCAUCUGCAAGUCUCCAGUCAGUGGAAAGAUUGGAAGGCUCAUCCCGUAUAUUUUAGGUUCAGAUUAGUACUUUUUAGCUUUUUCCACUGAUGCAGAGAGCUGUGUUGACUAGACAUCUAAAUUUUAAAGUAAGAAAUCAGGUGAAAUAAUAAAUCUAUUUUAGGGCGACGUGAACCCCUUUUCCUUCAGCACUGAAAAGCCUUCUGGGUCACGUUUUCAGGUACUCCUGCUCAAGGGCACUUUAUGUGUGAUGAAGACGAAUAAUCUUAAUGAAGAUGAAUAAUCUCAACGAAGAUAAAUAACCUGAUGUAAUUGCAAAGGAACUGAGGCUCCAGGAGCACUCAGAAAGCUCAUCAACAGCUCGCUGAGGAGUCAUGAGAAUUAAGGAAAAUUAAUUGCCAAGGCAAAAGGGAUCAGUGGCAUCUGCACACUCUUGUUCUGCAGAGGAUUCCUGGUUUUCCCUCGUGUGUGUGACGGACAAUCCUUGCAUUUGACAUCAGUCAUGUGGAGGCACGUUCAGGAAUUCUGCCCAAAUGAUUGCUGGGAGUUAAGAGAGGGAGAUUAUGGGAAGGGCAGCGUGAGUUUUGGGAAGUCAAAUCCUUUCUAGGCUGACCUGAAAGACCUGUUACCUUGGGCUGUGGCAGCAAACAAGAGGAAGCUCCCAGAAAGACCCGGAGAGAGUUUUGAGCUGUUCCAAAUUAAAAGGCCUAAAUGCAGCUGGAAAAGGAGGCUGGAAAGUCUUGAUUAACCUCUUCUGGGAAUAAACCCCACCCAGAGGGGAGCAGGAUGGAAAACACCAGCUGUGGCAGAUGUGGCUGAUGUGAGGGGAACCCAGAUUAGGUAAAGCCCUGCCUUAAUUUAAUUUAAUUAAAUUUAAUUUAAUUUAAUUUAAUUCUCGUCCACUACCAAGAGUAAGGUUGGUAACAUCAGCUCUCCCCUUUAAUUUUGGAGCUCUCUCUACACCCAGAAACCCCUGAUGGAGGGGCAACAGGUCCAUUCUUUAGCACAAGAAGGAAUGUGUCUCACAUGGUAUUAAAAUCCUCUCAUUGACACCUCAAGCUCCCUUUAUCAUUGAAUCACAGAAUCAGGAUUUUAUAUUUCCUUUUUCCCCAACAGGGUUUUGUUGGGUUUUUUUCAUGAUUCCUUGAACCUGUUGCAGGAUCCUGAUAAAAGAUAAGCUAAAUUUUGUCCUUGAUGCCUUUGGCGAUGGUUACUUUAAAAAGAGCCUGAAGCAAAGAUCCCAGGCCACAAAACCAUGGAAUAACCUGGGUUGGAAGGCACCCCCCAGGAUCAUGGAGUCAGAUGAAUCCCCCCUGUUUUUCCAGGUGUGCAACAGCAGGUUGGUUGAUUUUGAAGCUGUUGGAUCACCUGGGACUACAAAGACUUUCUGUGUGUCCUUUUGCCCCCACCCUUGAGCUCUCUGCUCUCUGAUAAAAGGUUGAACUCAAACUGCAGUGAAGAGACAACAGGAAACCUCCCUCCUCUUCCAAGCUGGUUUCAUCCAGUUUACAGGCACUCAAAAUCAAUAUGUUUUCUACUCCUCAAUUAAACUUGGGUGUUAUUGACCUUUUAAUUCAAAAGAAAAGGAAAGAGAUGGUUGUCUCUCUGUAUUAUCUGGCAUCCAGGACCCCUAUUCCAUUCUCCCAGAAAAGCAGACUCGGAAUGGAUCUGGUUCUUAAACUCAUCAAGCAUGUGUACAAACAGGGAGUUACAGCAAUGCUGCCAUCAAAAAGUCAUUUCUUUUGGCAGAAACAUGGUCCCAUUAAUUUCCCCUAUUAAUCUGAUUGAGAUUAAUGAGAUAAUGUGUUGUUUUACCAUGGCCCAAUCCAUCGUUGUCUGAUUUCUCCCACCUUCUUGCUUUUUCCUCACCCCAUUUAUUUAAUGUUUGAUCCAACAAAACAUGUCCCCCCGUGUCCCACCCCAGGCUUCUGUUCCAAGCUAAGCCUAAAGCGAGUUUUAAGGCUGAACAAGGUCAAAAUCAGGACAGUCCUUAAGGGCACCGGCAAAGCCCGUGUUUACACGCUCAAUAAAACAACCUACAAUGAUUUUCCUUUCCAUCAAAGCCACAGUUUCCAGCUCUGGGUUGUCCUGGGUUUUCUUCAGGAUAAUUAUCCCAUCUCCAAAGGCUCUGGCAGCCGGAGGAGCUCCGGCCCUCCCAAAUUACACACUUAAUAAGGGAAGCGGAGGCAACGUCAGAGGGAAACCAAGGCCAAGGGCAAAUCCAAACCCCUUGGAUCCACCAACUGCAUCACCGAGCUGGCCAGAAACCUUCCCCAUCCUGCCAGAGAGGGAUGAGGCCAUGGAAUGAGCUUCCCACGGACGGAUGAUGUGGGAGUGGAGCUGUUUGUGCCUUCCCCAAAGCACGUCGGGGCCGUCACAGCAGGUCGAGGGGAAUUCGGGGAGCGCCGGGAUUUUCAACAUCCAGGAAUUCACCGCUGUGGGGGUGGAGAAAGCAAUUUUUUGGGACACAAGUCCAAGCUGUGCCAAUGAAGGACUCGAAGCUGAUUCUUCCACAUCCCAUGGGAUUGUCUUGACCCCGCUUUCUAAAUGAGAAGGGACCAUGACUCAUUCUCUCUCUUUGGCCACUUCAUCCUCUGCUGCAGAGGAGUUUCCCACUGAAAAUUUCAUGGAAACCGGAACGUUUCUGGGGGAAAUAAAAAAAUCUCCCUUUUUUUGACAUUUAAGUGAAAUAAGACAAGAAAUUUGAUCAGCAGUUCCUGUCCAGAUGCCACGUACAAGCACGAAGACAAGGCCAAAAUCAGCAUUAAAUCCCACCAGGUUUUGAGAGGAUUCAAGUUUGUUCACUCAGUAAACGGAAAGGAAAAAACAUUUUAUUCCUAAAAUACAGUGUGGGGGUUUUUUCCCCAACUUUUUCUGCCCACAAGUCCUGAAUAUUAAUAGUCAAAGAUCUCUAAAAGCACUUCUUGGCUGCUCAGAACCACCUGCCCAGGGUUUGUCUGCAGGGUUCACCUGUGGAGCUUCAAGGCAGGGAGAGCAAAAGCUCAAAUAUUGUGACAAGUGAGGGACAAAGAUUGAGGUCACCUUGUUUGGCAAACUGACCUUCACCUUCUGGCAUCCUUUUGGAUCCCCAGGCACGAGCCAUUUGCUCCUGUUCCAUAAUUUGGGAGUUGUGAGGCUGCUCUAGUACAGAUGUUGCUCCCAAAGUGUUCCCAAAGCUCCUGGAAUUAUAACGUGUGUUUUGAAUAAAGGACAAGCACCAUGUUCUUCCUUUCUGCUGGCCAUGGGGAGAGUGACAGUGCUCAAGUUCUUCCAUCAGAAGCCACCUCAGACAUAUCCAAGCCAUGAGCUGGAGAGGAAGAGACCAAGUCAUUCCUGCUGCCCAUUUUAUUUGGAGUGUUGGUAGCAUUUGGAGGAGGCAGAGGCUGUGGGGAUGGGAGUGAUGCUUGGAUUCACAGCACCCAGAAUGACCAGCUCUUGCCUGCCAGGUAGCACCCCAUGACAAGUGAAGACCACAAAUAAAACAGAAAGAAAUAAUCAGGGUAGAGGGAAGGAAAAAAAAAAACAUUUUAUAUCAGAACCACAGAAACAUUAAGAUUGGAAUAAACCUUUAAGAUUAUCAGGUCCAACCACCAACCCAACACAACCACUGUGUGUUCACCACUAAACCAUCUCCUCAGGUGCCACAUCCACACGUUUCUGAACACU